UACGAAGGGGGCUAGCGUUGUUCGGAAUCACUGGGCGUAAAGCGCACGCAGGCGGAUCGAUAAGUCGGGGGUGAAAGCCCGGGGCUCAACCUCGGAAUUGACUUCGAUACUGUCGGUCUCGAGUCCGGGAGAGGUGAGUGGAAUUCCUAGUGUAGAGGUGAAAUUCGUAGAUAUUAGGAAGAACACCAGUGGCGAAGGCGGCUCACUGGCCCGGUAUUGACGCUCAGGUCCGAAAGCCUGGGGAGCAAACAGG
RNAcentral lists this ribosomal RNA (253 nucleotides) under uncultured bacterium. RNAcentral's name for it is "partial 16S ribosomal RNA". It matches the Rfam family "Bacterial small subunit ribosomal RNA", at positions 524 to 776 of the family's 1533-position model. The record is from RNAcentral.